UCGUUCGGAAAGAAAACAGCCAAGCCGGCCGCCAGUUAGACGACUCGGGCCAGUUUCUGUCCGGAUUCGGAUUUCGAGCAGAAUUUGGAUUAUCGGUUCCGAAACGUUUCGUUCGAACCGUCGAAACCCGCCGGGCCUCGACUCGUCGAGCCGAAUCGGACCGCGUCUUUAACUUUGACCUAUUCCGAUCGAAUGGUCGGCGCGUGUCGAAGGUCCGGAUCGGCGUGGAAGCGUUUAUGGCGAAAGUGUGCGAAGGCUGCGUGGAACGGAGACGGUUCAUCUUAUUCCUGGUAUCGUCGCGAGGCCAAAGAUAACAACUGAAAAUGACGCGCGCAACAUUGGACACGCAUAUUCAAAGCUCGAAACGGCAGAGCUGUUUGUUUAUUUUCAACGCAAGGAUAGUUUUGGUUGACGCAAUGUCGAGAGUAACGCUGUUUCGUUGGACACGGGGGCCUAGAUCGAAUUAGUAAUUGAGGAGAAUUGAAGAGAUAUAUACAUGAACGGUUCAGGAGCCAAUCAGUGUCGAUGGACGUGCACUGGAUGGUUUAUGGAUAUUCGAUGGAAAAUAAACGUAAAAAUUCGUUCAAUAA
This is a non-coding RNA of Megalopta genalis, 590 nucleotides long. The record is from RefSeq and is a predicted model, not a curated record. Lineage: Eukaryota; Metazoa; Arthropoda; Insecta; Hymenoptera; Halictidae.